GGAAAAGAAACUAACUAGGAUUCCCUUAGUAACGGCGAGUGAACCGGGAUGAGCUCAAAUUUAAAAUCUGGCGUCUUUCAGGCGUCCGAGUUGUAAUCUAUAGAGGCGUUUUCCGCGCCGGACCGCGUCCAAGUCUCUUGGAAUAGAGUAUCAAAGAGGGUGACAAUCCCGUACUUGACGCGACAACCGGUGCUCUGUGAUACGUUCUCAAUGAGUCGAGUUGUUUGGGAAUGCAGCUCUAAAUGGGUGGUAAAUUCCAUCUAAGGCUAAAUAUUGGCGAGAGACCGAUAGCGAACAAGUACCGUGAGGGAAAGAUGAAAAGCACUUUGGAAAGAGAGUUAAACAGCACGUGAAAUUGUUAAAAGGGAAACGAUUGAAGUCAGUCGUGUGAAAGGUAUUCAGCCGUCUCUGGCGGUGUAUUUGCCUUUCACGGGUCAACAUCAGUUUGAUCCGGUAGAAAAAGGCGGGAGGAAGGUGGCACCCUCGGGUGUGUUAUAGCCUCCUGUCAUAUGUGCCGGACCAGACUGAGGAACGCAGCUUGCCGCAAGGCCGGGGUUCGCCCACGUACAAGCUU
RNAcentral lists this ribosomal RNA (574 nucleotides) under Vishniacozyma victoriae. Its description in RNAcentral is "partial large subunit ribosomal RNA". It matches the Rfam family "Eukaryotic large subunit ribosomal RNA", at positions 55 to 616 of the family's 3401-position model. The record is from RNAcentral. Lineage: Eukaryota; Fungi; Basidiomycota; Tremellomycetes; Tremellales; Bulleribasidiaceae.